Molecule: signal recognition particle RNA, 98 nt
Filed under: Elioraea sp. Yellowstone
Lineage: Bacteria; Pseudomonadati; Pseudomonadota; Alphaproteobacteria; Acetobacterales; Elioraeaceae
Description: signal recognition particle sRNA small type
Rfam family: Bacterial small signal recognition particle RNA
About the family: The signal recognition particle (SRP) is a universally conserved ribonucleoprotein involved in the co-translational targeting of proteins to membranes. Archaeal SRP consists of a 7S RNA and homologues of the eukaryotic SRP19 and SRP54 proteins.
Source: RNAcentral
GGAGGCUGGCGGCGGACGGGCUCCUCGCCAACCCGGCCAGGUCCGGAAGGAAGCAGCCGUAACGGGUUCUUGCCCGGGUCGCCUCGCCAGUCUCCCAC